Molecule: ribosomal RNA, 375 nt
Filed under: uncultured bacterium
Lineage: Bacteria
Description: bacterial SSU rRNA
Rfam family: Bacterial small subunit ribosomal RNA
Source: RNAcentral
AUCUUGCAUGGGCGCAAGCCUGACCGCCUGCCGCGUGAGUGACGAAGGUCUUCGGAUUGUAAAGCUCUUUUGCCAGGGACGAUAAUGACGGUACCUGGAGAAUAAGCCCCGGCUAACUUCGUGCCAGCAGCCGCGGUAAUACGAAGGGGGCUAGCGUUGUUCGGAAUUACUGGGCGUAAAGCGCACGUAGGCGGAUUUGUAAGUCAGGGGUGAAAUCCCGGGGCUCAACCUCGGAACUGCCUUUGAUACUGCGAAUCUCGAGUCCGAUAGAGGUGAGUGGAAUUCCUAGUGUAGAGGUGAAAUUCGUAGAUAUUAGGAAGAACACCAGUGGCGAAGGCGGCUCACUGGAUCGGUACUGACGCUGAGGUGCGAAAG